This 204-nucleotide unclassified non-coding RNA is filed under the name Hevea brasiliensis (rubber tree). The record is from RNAcentral. Lineage: Eukaryota; Viridiplantae; Streptophyta; Magnoliopsida; Malpighiales; Euphorbiaceae.
CAUCUAGCAACCACUUAUUACUUUCAUUAAUAUUUACCUAAUCAAUAAGCGUCUCCAAAAGUGUGUCAGGGUAGCAAUGCUCUAUUGUACUUUAUGCAAACCAAAUUGUCCAAGUGUUCUUAAAAUAGCCGAUUUCUUUGCUUACUAUAAAGCUGUCAUUGAUUUACAGUAACAAAUAAAUUAAAUUUCAAAUUCAAAAGGUUG